UACGUAGGGGGCAAGCGUUGUCCGGAAUCAUUGGGCGUAAAGCGCGUGUAGGCGGUCCGGUAAGUCCGCUGUGAAAGUUGGGGGCUCAACCCUCGGAUGCCGGUGGAUACUGUCGGGCUUGAGUACGGAAGAGGCGAGUGGAAUUCCUGGUGUAGCGGUGAAAUGCGCAGAUAUCAGGAGGAACACCAAUUGCGAAGGCAGCUCGCUGGGACGUUACUGACGCUGAGACGCGAAAGCGUGGGGAGCAAACAGG
This 253-nucleotide ribosomal RNA is filed under the name uncultured bacterium. Its description in RNAcentral is "partial 16S ribosomal RNA". It matches the Rfam family "Bacterial small subunit ribosomal RNA", at positions 524 to 776 of the family's 1533-position model. The record is from RNAcentral.